RNAcentral lists this long non-coding RNA (1130 nucleotides) under Malus domestica (apple). Its description in RNAcentral is "long non-coding RNA (MDOM_LNC010045)". The record is from RNAcentral. Lineage: Eukaryota; Viridiplantae; Streptophyta; Magnoliopsida; Rosales; Rosaceae.
CCGUUACUAAAUUCAAAUAGGAGGGACUGAAAUUAUAGUCAACCUCAUAUAUUCUUGUCAGUGUCGAGUUAUAGUUGAGUGACUUGAAUUGAUUAGUUAGAAAAUAUUGGUUACCAUGACGUUAUUGUCUUGUCAUGACUUUGUUCUUUUUGGUUUGUUUGAAGUUGACUGUUCAUUUGUUUAGAUUAGUGACCACUUAAGAUGACUGCAAUAAUCUUCAUGUUUACGUGAAGUUGAUGACGAUCAUUAUCUACAUAUUGCUAAUGACUUUGGUUUUCUUCUCGGCAAACUCAUGAUUAUACCAUCAUGAGUUUGAGGGAGUUGUAGGAAAUAUUGAAAAAAGGAAUUUUUUUUAUUUACUUAGAGAUUUUAUUUUAUGUUAUUAUUUUAAGGUCUAGGUUUCCUUGACCUGGUGGACUAAGGUUGUUUAACACAGAGUCUUUUUAGACCUAUUAAAAAAUAUAUAGUUGUUUUUUGGCUUAACAGAUGGCCUGGAGAGAGAGCCCGACAAAGGAUGAGAAGAUCAAGACAUUGGACUUGCAAACUUGCCCAAAGAAUCCAAAUGACAGAACACCACCACGAGAACGAAAGACAAUUGCCAUCAACGAUCGUUCGUAACUUGAAUUGUUUACCGAUAAGAAGAGACGAGCAUAGAACUUAAAAUACUUUCUGACAGCUCAAGUCAGUUGACAGACCCGACAAGGAUAGGUAUGUCUAGAUGUCAAUUCUAAGUCAUGCAUUGGCCAUUGAAGGAAAAUGAAGUCUAUGAAGAGACAUAAAUGCUGUUAAACCUAUCGCUAAGGCAAAAUGCUUUUAAACCAUCCUUUAACGAACGAUGCACUCAAGAUGCAAUGACCAAAAAAAUCAUGCAAGUAGCUCUAUGUAAAUGGCACUGUCUCUCCACUUGUCAUGUGGAUAAUUGAGGAAUAGCAUAUAGGUCAUAUCUACGUGUUCGAUUAAAUGAUAGGGCAGUGAAAGAAUUAAGAGCUCAAGACUUUUGGGGCUCACUUAGGACCUAUGUAAAGGAGUUGAAUACCCCUUAUAAGCGGUGGGAUCCACAAGAGCAAAAUCACAUUACAUUGUCUUGAGAGCUAUUGUCAUCCACAUCAUAUAUAUAUAUAUAUAUAUAU